RNAcentral lists this ribosomal RNA (473 nucleotides) under uncultured bacterium. RNAcentral describes it as "bacterial SSU rRNA". It matches the Rfam family "Bacterial small subunit ribosomal RNA", at positions 33 to 507 of the family's 1533-position model. The record is from RNAcentral.
ACGCUGGCGGCGUGCCUAACACAUGCAAGUCGAACGGAGUUAUCUGGAUCAAGGCUUCGGCCAAGUGAAUUUUAACUUAGUGGCGAACGGGUGAGUAACGCGUGAGCAACCUGCCUUUCAGAGGGGGACAACAGUUGGAAACGACUGCUAAUACCGCAUAACGCAUUCGAGGGGCAUCCCUUGAAUACCAAAGCUGAGGCGCUGAAAGAUGGACUCGCGUCUGAUUAGAUAGUUGGUGAGGUAACGGCUCACCAAGUCGACGAUCAGUAGCCGGACUGAGAGGUUGAACGGCCACAUUGGGACUGAGACACGGCCCAGACUCCUACGGGAGGCAGCAGUGGGGAAUAUUGCGCAAUGGGCGGAAGCCUGACGCAGCGACGCCGCGUGCGGGACGAAGGCCCUCGGGCCGUAAACCGCUUUCAGCGGGGACGAUAGUGACGGUACCCGCAGAAGAAGCCCCGGCUAACUACGUG